CAGUCGCCGCGGUAAUACGUAGGGUGCGAGCGUUAAUCGGAAUUACUGGGCGUAAAGCGUGCGCAAGCGGUUAUAUAAGACAGAUGUGAAAUCCCCGGGCUCAACCUGGGACCUGCAUUUGUGACUGUAUAGCUAGAGUACGGUAGAGGGGGAUGGAAUUCCGCGUGUAGCAGUGAAAUGCGUAGAUAUGCGGAGGAACACCGAUGGCGAAGGCAAUCCCCUGGACCUGUACUGACGCUCAUGCACGAAAGCGUGGGGAGCAAACAGGAUUAGAUACCCCUGUAGUCCCUGUCUCUUAUAC
This 301-nucleotide ribosomal RNA is filed under the name uncultured bacterium. Its description in RNAcentral is "partial 16S ribosomal RNA". It matches the Rfam family "Bacterial small subunit ribosomal RNA", at positions 509 to 807 of the family's 1533-position model. The record is from RNAcentral.